Molecule: long non-coding RNA, 257 nt
Organism: Telopea speciosissima
Lineage: Eukaryota; Viridiplantae; Streptophyta; Magnoliopsida; Proteales; Proteaceae
Exons: 4
Source: RefSeq, a predicted model, not a curated record
AAAAUAAUAGUAAACCGGAAGCUUGUCUUCUCUUUUCUUGAAGGCCAUGGCAUCUAUGGAACAGGUAGCAUUAAAAUCUUCAUAAAAAUCUAAUUCUUGCUACAUACCUUGCAACUUAGAAUAAUACUGGGAUAACGUCAUUUCCUUCUGCUUACUUUCAUGGAUCUUCUUACGUAGUUCAUAGACUUGUGCAGCCUUGCCAACCUGAGAAUAGGUAUCCUUGGCAGCCUUCCAGAUCUUGGCCGCCAUAUCCAACA